RNAcentral lists this long non-coding RNA (476 nucleotides) under Bos taurus (domestic cattle). Its description in RNAcentral is "long non-coding RNA NONBTAT025928". Lineage: Eukaryota; Metazoa; Chordata; Mammalia; Artiodactyla; Bovidae. The record is from RNAcentral.
UGGUAAAGAAAAACAGAAUCUUUGGCGGGUCUCAUGCUCACAGGGGUCCAUUUGAAAAUACGGUGACAAAGGUAACCUGGUCUCACUUUUAAUAAUAGCUUAAAAAUUCCCUCUUUUCUAUCUUGUUCUAUAGUCUUCCUAUCCUUUUACAGAGAAAGUACUUUUUAGCCUAAUUUUUGUUAAUUUUUUGGACAGAUUUAUAGGUGAAGAUCCAUCAAUUACUAGUAGACUACUAGAUAUUAAAUAGUGAGCAAUAAAGGAAAUCUAAAAAGUGUGUAUCUAACAAUACUAGAUUCUGUUCUCAAAAGACCGAAUGAACAUAUGCUAAUGUGUGUUUUUGCAUAUGCUUAAAAUAGAUAUAUUUUGGUAUUAGUCAUAAACUCCUAAAAUUUCUGGUCAUGCCUUUUUUAUUAGAAAAGUGAGAAAGGCAGAGUCUGUGAAAUUGAGAUGGUUAGCAGUGGACAAGUAGUCUACCA